Erythranthe guttata (spotted monkey flower) is the source of this 1007-nucleotide non-coding RNA. The record is from RefSeq and is a predicted model, not a curated record. NCBI's taxonomy places the organism in Eukaryota, Viridiplantae, Streptophyta, Magnoliopsida, Lamiales, Phrymaceae.
UAUGUAUAUAUAUGGAGAAAAUGAAGAUCAAAUUAUUAAGUAUGGAAAAAAUGGGGGAGCAUAUUUUUUUGAGGGGAAUGUUGUCCGGCUCGAGGACCGACUGUUGAUAUAUUAAUAUUGAUCUUAUAUAUGUUUUUUUCUUUUUCUUUUUUUUGGUGUGGUUGAAGAAAUUAAGAAAUGUAUAGAUCUAAUUAAUAUUAUUGAUGAUGAUGAUAAUACUCGUCGUCGUCGUCGUCGUCGGACCAGGCUUCAUUCCCCCCAAUUUCUGCUCCUCUCCAUUCAUGCUCGAGAUUUAGAUCAUCACUUUCUUCCUCAUCUAUAAUUCUACUUCCCCUAUGUCUAAUUAUAAUGUGUGUAUAUAUUUAUUCUAUUCUCUACAGAAUUUCUUCAGCCCACAAUUCAUAUAUAUCUACAUAUUUUUUUUUUCAGUUUGAUUGGUGUAAUGAUUAACAAGGGAUCUUGACUUUUUUUCAUGAUUGCAACCCUUUUCAUUUCUGUUUUUUUUCUUGCAGGUUAUGAUGGUGUUUCGUGUCAGGGAGAUCGAUUGCUAAUUAAUCAUUGGAGUUGGCCCUGCGCGCUGAACGUACAAAUAUAUAUAUUCCUCUAGUAGAUAGAUCAAUUUUUCGUGAUUGAAAAUGAUUGUUGAAAAGAGCAGUUCGUAUUGACAACAAAGUAAAGAGCUACUCCUCAGUCACCAGUAACAAGAUGGAUGAUACUAUUAUACAUGAUCAAUUUGGGGCUGAUGAUCUGUAUGUUGAUGGAGAUUUGUUCCUGCAACUUCCGUCUGUCUGUCUGUAUGUUGAUGGAGGAGGAAGCUCAUCAAAUUAAACUAUGCAUAUUCAUCAACAAAUGAACUUUGUUUUUACACUUAUUUUAAUUUCACCCAUCAUAUACCAUGUAGCUAGUAGGCUGCAAUUAAUUCAUGAAUCACAUUUAUUUAUCUAUUUAUGUUAAUUUGCACUAGUUUUCUUAGAGUUCUUCAUUCAUAGGAUUUCAAACUUAAAACA